Molecule: ribosomal RNA, 2354 nt
Filed under: Escherichia coli
Lineage: Bacteria; Pseudomonadati; Pseudomonadota; Gammaproteobacteria; Enterobacterales; Enterobacteriaceae
Description: partial 23S ribosomal RNA
Rfam family: Bacterial large subunit ribosomal RNA
Source: RNAcentral
UGUGUGACUGCGUACCUUUUGUAUAAUGGGUCAGCGACUUAUAUUCUGUAGCAAGGUUAACCGAAUAGGGGAGCCGAAGGGAAACCGAGUCUUAACUGGGCGUUAAGUUGCAGGGUAUAGACCCGAAACCCGGUGAUCUAGCCAUGGGCAGGUUGAAGGUUGGGUAACACUAACUGGAGGACCGAACCGACUAAUGUUGAAAAAUUAGCGGAUGACUUGUGGCUGGGGGUGAAAGGCCAAUCAAACCGGGAGAUAGCUGGUUCUCCCCGAAAGCUAUUUAGGUAGCGCCUCGUGAAUUCAUCUCCGGGGGUAGAGCACUGUUUCGGCAAGGGGGUCAUCCCGACUUACCAACCCGAUGCAAACUGCGAAUACCGGAGAAUGUUAUCACGGGAGACACACGGCGGGUGCUAACGUCCGUCGUGAAGAGGGAAACAACCCAGACCGCCAGCUAAGGUCCCAAAGUCAUGGUUAAGUGGGAAACGAUGUGGGAAGGCCCAGACAGCCAGGAUGUUGGCUUAGAAGCAGCCAUCAUUUAAAGAAAGCGUAAUAGCUCACUGGUCGAGUCGGCCUGCGCGGAAGAUGUAACGGGGCUAAACCAUGCACCGAAGCUGCGGCAGCGACACUGUGUGUUGUUGGGUAGGGGAGCGUUCUGUAAGCCUGUGAAGGUGUGCUGUGAGGCAUGCUGGAGGUAUCAGAAGUGCGAAUGCUGACAUAAGUAACGAUAAAGCGGGUGAAAAGCCCGCUCGCCGGAAGACCAAGGGUUCCUGUCCAACGUUAAUCGGGGCAGGGUGAGUCGACCCCUAAGGCGAGGCCGAAAGGCGUAGUCGAUGGGAAACAGGUUAAUAUUCCUGUACUUGGUGUUACUGCGAAGGGGGGACGGAGAAGGCUAUGUUGGCCGGGCGACGGUUGUCCCGGUUUAAGCGUGUAGGCUGGUUUUCCAGGCAAAUCCGGAAAAUCAAGGCUGAGGCGUGAUGACGAGGCACUACGGUGCUGAAGCAACAAAUGCCCUGCUUCCAGGAAAAGCCUCUAAGCAUCAGGUAACAUCAAAUCGUACCCCAAACCGACACAGGUGGUCAGGUAGAGAAUACCAAGGCGCUUGAGAGAACUCGGGUGAAGGAACUAGGCAAAAUGGUGCCGUAACUUCGGGAGAAGGCACGCUGAUAUGUAGGUGAAGUCCCUCGCGGAUGGAGCUGAAAUCAGUCGAAGAUACCAGCUGGCUGCAACUGUUUAUUAAAAACACAGCACUGUGCAAACACGAAAGUGGACGUAUACGGUGUGACGCCUGCCCGGUGCCGGAAGGUUAAUUGAUGGGGUCAGCGCAAGCGAAGCUCUUGAUCGAAGCCCCGGUAAACGGCGGCCGUAACUAUAACGGUCCUAAGGUAGCGAAAUUCCUUGUCGGGUAAGUUCCGACCUGCACGAAUGGCGUAAUGAUGGCCAGGCUGUCUCCACCCGAGACUCAGUGAAAUUGAACUCGCUGUGAAGAUGCAGUGUACCCGCGGCAAGACGGAAAGACCCCGUGAACCUUUACUAUAGCUUGACACUGAACAUUGAGCCUUGAUGUGUAGGAUAGGUGGGAGGCUUUGAAGUGUGGACGCCAGUCUGCAUGGAGCCGACCUUGAAAUACCACCCUUUAAUGUUUGAUGUUCUAACGUGGACCCGUGAUCCGGGUUGCGGACAGUGUCUGGUGGGUAGUUUGACUGGGGCGGUCUCCUCCUAAAGAGUAACGGAGGAGCACGAAGGUUGGCUAAUCCUGGUCGGACAUCAGGAGGUUAGUGCAAUGGCAUAAGCCAGCUUGACUGCGAGCGUGACGGCGCGAGCAGGUGCGAAAGCAGGUCAUAGUGAUCCGGUGGUUCUGAAUGGAAGGGCCAUCGCUCAACGGAUAAAAGGUACUCCGGGGAUAACAGGCUGAUACCGCCCAAGAGUUCAUAUCGACGGCGGUGUUUGGCACCUCGAUGUCGGCUCAUCACAUCCUGGGGCUGAAGUAGGUCCCAAGGGUAUGGCUGUUCGCCAUUUAAAGUGGUACGCGAGCUGGGUUUAGAACGUCGUGAGACAGUUCGGUCCCUAUCUGCCGUGGGCGCUGGAGAACUGAGGGGGGCUGCUCCUAGUACGAGAGGACCGGAGUGGACGCAUCACUGGUGUUCGGGUUGUCAUGCCAAUGGCACUGCCCGGUAGCUAAAUGCGGAAGAGAUAAGUGCUGAAAGCAUCUAAGCACGAAACUUGCCCCGAGAUGAGUUCUCCCUGACCCUUUAAGGGUCCUGAAGGAACGUUGAAGACGACGACGUUGAUAGGCCGGGUGUGUAAGCGCAGCGAUGCGUUGAGCUAACCGGUACUAAUGAACCGUGAGGCUUAACCUU